RNAcentral lists this ribosomal RNA (500 nucleotides) under uncultured bacterium. RNAcentral describes it as "bacterial SSU rRNA". It matches the Rfam family "Bacterial small subunit ribosomal RNA", at positions 28 to 526 of the family's 1533-position model. The record is from RNAcentral.
GACGAACGCUGGCGGCGUGCUUAACACAUGCAAGUCGAACGAGAAUCUUACGAGUGGAAACUUCGGUAGAAACAUGUAAGAGGAAAGUGGCGAACGGGUGAGUAACGCGUGGGCAACCUGCCUUACACAAAGGGAUAGCCUCGGGAAACCGGGAUUAAUACCAUAUGAUACCUUAGGAACGAGUGUUUCCAAGGUUAAAGAUUUUAUCGGUGUAAGAUGGGCCCGCGUCUGAUUAGCUAGUUGGUGAGAUAAAAGCUCACCAAGGCGACGAUCAGUAACCGGCUUGAGAGAGUGAACGGUCACAUUGGAACUGAGACACGGUCCAAACUCCUACGGGAGGCAGCAGUGGGGAAUAUUGCACAAUGGGGGAAACCCUGAUGCAGCGACGCCGCGUGAACGAUGAAGGCCUUCGGGUCGUAAAGUUCUGUCCUUGGUAAAGAUAAUGACGGUAACCAAGGAGGAAGCACCGGCUAAAUACGUGCCAGCCGCCGCCGUAAAAC